AAUCUGGCGGUCUCCGGCCGUCCGAGUUGUAAUUUAGAGAAGCGUUAUCCGUGCUGGACCGUGUAUAAGUCUCCUGGAAUGGAGCGUCAUAGAGGGUGAGAAUCCCGUCUUUGACACGGACUACCAGUGCAUUGUGAUGCGCUCUCGACGAGUCGAGUUGUUUGGGAAUGCAGCUCAAAAUGGGUGGUAAAUGCCAUCUAAAGCUAAAUAUUGGCGAGAGACCGAUAGCGAACAAGUACCGUGAGGGAAAGAUGAAAAGAACUUUGGAAAGAGAGUUAAACAGUACGUGAAAUUGUCGAAAGGGAAACGGUUGCAGUCAGUCGCGUCCGCCGGGGAUCAACCUUGCUUUUGCUUGGCGUAUUUCCCGGUGGAUGGGUCAGCAUCAGUUUUGACUGCAGUUGAAAGGCUGGAGGAAUGUGGCACCUUCGGGUGUGUUAUAGCCUCCUGUCAUAUGCUGCGGUUGGGACUGAGGAACUCAGC
This 480-nucleotide ribosomal RNA is filed under the name Schizophyllum commune. Its description in RNAcentral is "eukaryotic LSU rRNA". It matches the Rfam family "Eukaryotic large subunit ribosomal RNA", at positions 119 to 599 of the family's 3401-position model. The record is from RNAcentral. Lineage: Eukaryota; Fungi; Basidiomycota; Agaricomycetes; Agaricales; Schizophyllaceae.